UUAUUUGCUCCUUUGUUCUCACAACAACUCUGCAAACAAGGUAUUUUUACCUCCAUUUUACAGAUUAAGACCCUGGGGCUUGGAGACAGCAAGUGACUGUCCCAAGAUCACUCAGCUGAUAAGUGAUGGAGCCAGGAUUCCAGCCUAGACUGUCUGACUGCAAGGGGCUUGAACUUUUCACCGUAACGCAGAUUGUGAAUUCCAUGAAAGCAGGGACUGUGCUUUCUGAGUCUCUAGCCAAGCACCUGCCACAUGAAUUCUAGGGCUGGAAGAAAAUGUGGAAGAUUCCUCUCUUGGUGCUGAAGGCUUGAGUGGAAUUUGCAGAAGCCCAUUCCGGGAGCUCUAACUAGCUCUUUGCUGGCAAAUUUCCUGGAAAUUUAACCAUCAGCUCUUGUGAACUGGGACUAGCCAGCCCUGGCGUACCACUGGUGAUUGCGGAAGGCCUUGCUGAGAAAGGGACAUCUGAACAGGAAACUGAAAGAGGCUGCAGUCAAUGGCGUGAUCUCCGCUCACUGCAGCCUUGACCUCCUGGGCUCAAGCAAUCCUACCACCUCAGCCCCUCAAGUAGCUAGGACUACAGGAUCUCAUUCUGUCACCCAGGCUGGAGUACAGUGGUGCGAUCUCAGCUUACUGCAACCUCUGCCUCGUGGGUUCAAGUGAUUCUUCUGCCUCAGCCUCCUGAGUAGCUUGGAUUACAGGCACGUGCCACCACACCCAGCUGAUUUUUGUAUUUUUAGUAGAGACAGGGUUUCACCAUGUUGGCCAGGCUGGUCUUGAACUCCUGACCUCAAAUGAUCAGCCCGCCCCAGCCUCCCAAAGUGCUGGGAUGGGAUUACAG
This 838-nucleotide long non-coding RNA is filed under the name Homo sapiens (human). Its description in RNAcentral is "HSALNT0292965". The record is from RNAcentral. Lineage: Eukaryota; Metazoa; Chordata; Mammalia; Primates; Hominidae.